This 460-nucleotide ribosomal RNA is filed under the name uncultured bacterium. RNAcentral's name for it is "partial 16S ribosomal RNA". It matches the Rfam family "Bacterial small subunit ribosomal RNA", at positions 338 to 795 of the family's 1533-position model. The record is from RNAcentral.
CCUACGGGUGGCAGCAGUGAGGGAUAUUGGUCAAUGGACGAGAGUCUGAACCAGCCAAGUAGCGUGAAGGAUGACUGCCCUAUGGGUUGUAAACUUCUUUUAUAUGGGAAUAAAAUGUUCCACGUGUGGGAUUUUGUAUGUACCAUAUGAAUAAGGAUCGGCUAACUCCGUGCCAGCAGCCGCGGUAAUACGGAGGAUCCGAGCGUUAUCCGGAUUUAUUGGGUUUAAAGGGAGCGUAGGUGGAUUGUUAAGUCAGUUGUGAAAGUUUGCGGCUCAACCGUAAAAUUGCAGUUGAAACUGGCAGUCUUGAGUACAGUAGAGGUGGGCGGAAUUCGUGGUGUAGCGGUGAAAUGCUUAGAUAUCACGAAGAACUCCGAUUGCGAAGGCAGUUCACUGGACUGCAACUGACACUGAGGCUCGAAAGUGUGGGUAUCAAACAGGAUUAGAUACCCGAGUAGUC